This is a long non-coding RNA of Halichondria panicea, 2488 nucleotides long. RefSeq lists it as uncharacterized. The record is from RefSeq and is a predicted model, not a curated record. Lineage: Eukaryota; Metazoa; Porifera; Demospongiae; Suberitida; Halichondriidae. The transcript has 8 exons.
ACCCACCCCCUCACGGGAGAGGGUGGGGAUUUGUAAGUCAUUUGCAAAAUAACUUCCUACUUGGGGGCAGGGCUUUUGUCAAUCCGUAUAUUCAAGGAUACAAGAAUCAGUAUACUACAAUAAUAAAUAUGUGUUUCUUCUUUUUCUUUGUGACCUCCAAUGCCAAAUGGACUAUAGCAGGUAUAUAGAGCUAGUGUGUAUAUGCAUAUGCAUAUGCUAGUCAUUGUUCUUGGAUAUAGGCCCUAGUUUGUGCUUAAUAGUAUGGAGAAGAAGGUGGUUGUGUCUACUAGUGGUAGUAUAGAAGUGCACAUUGUGAACCAUUCUUUUUAUUAAUAUAAUAUUGUUGAAUCCCCUGUGUACGUGUGGGGGGAGAGUCGUUUGUAGUGCUAUGGACAUGCAUUUGUACAAAGAGGUGUUCCCUGGGGGAGUGUCUUUGUAACUCCCCUAUUGACAAAUCCCUACCCUAUCCCGUGAGGGGGGGUGGGGAUUUGCAUUGAUAGGUGCAUUAUACAGGGAUUUGAGGAGUUCUUGCAACUGUAAACUCGAGAGCGGAAGUACCUGUCACGUGAACCAAGCUUGGUAACAAGAUUGAAUUUUGGCUCAUUCCAAACCAAUUUUUCUCCAAUAGAGCCUAUUCAUUUUUGUUAAACUGGGAAAACAUCGACUUACAUCAGAAAGCUAAGAGCCUUUGGUACACAACCAAAAAUUAGUCUCGCGGACCCAGACCCUGAAAGGAGGGUCUGGCCAAUUUCACCGUACAGAGUUGUGUUGACCGCGCCACAAAUAUCGUGGCGCUCUAAGUGGCUGAUAAGUGUUUGUAGUAAGUUGUGAAACCGCACAGCUGCACUAAAUAGAUUUGGCAAAUCUAAUUAUGUGGUUUCACACAUCCGUCCUCCACCCACUAACCACUUAUCAAUGCAAACAGCCACUUAGACCGCUGCACAAGUAGCUCAUGUGUAAUUUGCCAGACGAUAAUAUAUCGGCUGGUCCACGAGACUAACCAAAAAUCCACGUAUAUGAUUAGCAUCUGUGAGAGGUGCACUUAUUAUACUGAUGUGUGCACAGAACCGUAUGAAAUCUAUUUUGUAAUACAAGUGGAUCAGAUGUGUGUUAAAGAUGUGUGUGCAAUAUGUACUUCACUCGUGAUUGCCAAUGUGAUGUUCUGCUAUGUAUCACAACUAUUAAGAAGCAGGCAUUAACGCUUGUUGACAGUGUGGAAAGGUGCAGACUCACAUGAAGGGUAGAACAACUGGCCAGACAGCUAGACGUCAGUCAUCUAUAGAGUGGAAACGCGUGAGUCUAACUAUAUAAUUAUGUAUGCACUGAUGAUCAAAAUUAUAAUUAUAUAUUUCUAGGCUUGAAAGUCAUCAUUAUUUUGACAACAUUCAGACGAGGGGUUAAUUGAUGAUCCACUACUUCCCUGUUACUUUAUAAUUAUACAUUUAUUUCAAUUAUUAGAUGGCUGCUUUUAUUGUGACCCCUUAUGUGACUAACUAUGAAUGGCUCGCACUUUCAAAAGUGUUCAGAGUUGCAUAGUGUGCUUCAUUUUGGAAAGCAGACAAGUAUGUAAGCGGUUCUUAGACCUGGUAAGGAAUGUAACCCACACAUUAAAAAAAAAAUAGAAGUGCACCCACUGCUCUACCUUGUGGAAGACCUUGCUGUCUCUUCGGUCCCACUGCUGCUUUUAAUUAACACUGAAAGGUGUGAAGCCUUUAAUUUAUAUUGAUGAGGGAGAAGAAAUAGACGAGCCCUAUAAGUGGUGAUAUUACUGCUUCGUUUUCAACAUUAGAAGCAUUGAGAUUUGUCUGCUCAAGUGGCUAUUACCAGAGUGAGAUUUUCAACAGUGUGUUGCUGGGUUGACUAAUCUCUACAACCAUGCAGCAUGGAAUGGCCUAGUGUCUCAUCACACAUCUUGGCAAGGCUAUAUCAGUCUGGAGCACUGAGAAAGGCUCGUUGAGAGAUAUUACCAGAUAUUGCCUUGUCUUUCAAUGGCACCAAUCAGAAUGGUGUGAAGUCUCAAGAGAAUACGAUAUACAUUCAUCAUCGUCUUGGAUGUUUUGGUGCAAACGUAUAUGGAGCAGUUUAUGGACACAUGUACGAAUUACUUCUUGCUUGAAUGUUGUGUAUGCAGGACUCCUGUUGUUCAUUCUAAUUGCUUAAUUGACGGCAUAUAGUGGUCUGUGCCAAGAAGAAUCUUCUCCCUUCCACCUUACCAAAAUGAGAGGCUUUUGACCCUUCGGACUGAACACGUAAACACAUGUUCCUGACAUGUACAUAUGUUACACUGGACAAUUCGACCUACAGGAGCUCGAGUUGGGUUUCACCAUAUACAAUGAGCAAGACUGUCCGUUGUUAACUUAACAUUACUACGCAGCCUUUUACAAUCGAACAAGAACGAGAGCAACUUAGAAUUAUCAUAGUAAUUUUUAUAAGUUGUCCUCUAGCUAUUUUAACCAUCCUUUUCAUGCAUGCACUUGUCAAUACAUAA